This 485-nucleotide ribosomal RNA is filed under the name uncultured bacterium. RNAcentral describes it as "partial 16S ribosomal RNA". It matches the Rfam family "Bacterial small subunit ribosomal RNA", at positions 27 to 507 of the family's 1533-position model. The record is from RNAcentral.
GAGUGAACGCUGGCGGCAGGCCUAACACAUGCAAGUCGAGCGGCAGCGGGUCCUUCGGGCUGCCGGCGAGCGGCGGACGGGUGAGGAAUGCAUCGGAAUCUGCCCUGUCGUGGGGGAUAACCUAGGGAAACUUAGGCUAAUACCGCAUACGACCCACGGGUGAAAGCGGGGGAUCGCACGACCUCGCGCGAUAGGAUGAGCCGAUGUCCGAUUAGCUAGUUGGCGGGGUAAAGGCCCACCAAGGCGACGAUCGGUAGCUGGUCUGAGAGGAUGAUCAGCCACACUGGGACUGAGACACGGCCCAGACUCCUACGGGAGGCAGCAGUGGGGAAUAUUGGACAAUGGGCGCAAGCCUGAUCCAGCCAUGCCGCGUGGGUGAAGAAGGCCUUCGGGUUGUAAAGCCCUUUUGUCCGGGAAGAAAUCGUCUGGGCUAAUACCCCGGGCGGAUGACGGUACCGGAAGAAUAAGCACCGGCUAACUUCGUG